GACAUCCAGAGAACUUGGCAGAGAUGCUUUGGUGCCUUCGGGAACUCUGAGACAGGUGCUGCAUGGCUGUCGUCAGCUCGUGUUGUGAAAUGUUGGGUUAAGUCCGCAACGAGCGCAACCCCUAUCCUUUGUUGCCAGCGAUUCGGUCGGGAACUCAAAGGAGACUGCCGGUGAUAAACCGGAGGAAGGUGGGGAUGACGUCAAGUCAUCAUGGCCCUUACGAGUAGGGCUACACACGUGCUACAAUGGCGCAUACAAAGAGAAGCGACCUCGCGAGAGCAAGCGGACCUCAUAAAGUGCGUCGUAGUCCGGAUCGGAGUCUGCAACUCGACUCCGUGAAGUCGGAAUCGCUAGUAAUCGUAGAUCAGAAUGCUACGGUGAAUACGUUCCCGGGCCUUGUACACACCGCCCGUCACACCAUGGGAGUGGGUUGCAAAAGAAGUAGAUAGCUUAACCUUCGGGAGGGCGUUUACCACUUUGUGAUUCAUGACUGGGGUGAAGUCGUAACAAGGUAGGCGUAGACGU
RNAcentral lists this ribosomal RNA (525 nucleotides) under uncultured bacterium. RNAcentral's name for it is "bacterial SSU rRNA". It matches the Rfam family "Bacterial small subunit ribosomal RNA", at positions 983 to 1509 of the family's 1533-position model. The record is from RNAcentral.